CGGGGUGCAGCAGGCGCGAAAACUUUACAAUGCCGGCAACGGCGAUAAGGGGACCUCGAGUGCCAGGUUACAAAUCUGGCUGUCGUGAUGCCUAAAAAGCAUUGCAUAGCAAGGGCCGGGCAAGACCGUUGCCAGCCGCCGCGGUAACACCGGCGGCUCGAGUGGUAACCGUUAUUAUUGGGUCUAAAGGGUCUGUAGCCGGCCGGAUAAGUCUCUUGGGAAAUCUGGCAGCUUAACUGUCAGGCUUUCAGGAGAUACUGUCUGGCUCGAGGCCGGGAGAGGUGAGAGGUACUUCAGGGGUAGGGGUGAAAUCUUGUAAUCCUUGAAGGACCACCAGUGGCGAAGGCGUCUCACCAGAACGGACCUGACGGCAAGGGACGAAAGCUAGGGGCACGAACCGGAUUAGAUACCCGGGUAGUCCUAGCCGUAAACGAUACUCGCUAGGUGUCGGCCACGGUGCGACCGUGGUCGGUGCCGUAGGGAAGCCGUGAAGCGAGCCACCUGGGAAGUACGGCCGCAAGGCUGAAACUUAAAGGAAUGGC
Molecule: ribosomal RNA, 542 nt
Filed under: uncultured archaeon
Lineage: Archaea
Description: bacterial SSU rRNA
Rfam family: Archaeal small subunit ribosomal RNA
Source: RNAcentral